This 94-nucleotide transfer RNA is filed under the name Clostridia bacterium. RNAcentral's name for it is "tRNA-Ser". It matches the Rfam family "tRNA". From Rfam's summary of the family: Transfer RNA (tRNA) molecules are approximately 80 nucleotides in length. Their secondary structure includes four short double-helical elements and three loops (D, anti-codon, and T loops). The record is from RNAcentral. Lineage: Bacteria; Bacillati; Bacillota; Clostridia.
GGAGAGUUACCUAAGUGGUCAUACAGGUUCCGCCUGCUAAGCGGCUAGUCGGCUAAUAACCGGCACAUGGGUUCGAAUCCCAUACUCUCCGCCA